AGGGUUUGAUCAUGGCUCAGAACGUACGCUGGCGGCACGCCUUAUACAUGCAAGUCGAACGAAGUAGCAAUACUUAGUGGCAGACGGGUGAGUAACAUGUAGGUAUCUUCCCUUUGGUGAGGAAUAACACGAGGAAACUUGUGCUAAUACCUCAUAAGUCUUUACGGAGAAAGCUUUAUGCGCCGAAGGAUCAGCCCAAGUGGGAUUAGCUAGUUGGUAAGGUAAUGGCUUACCAAGGCGACGAUCCCUAGCUGGUCUUAGAGGAUGACCAGCCACACUGGAACUGAGACACGGUCCAGACUCCUACGGGAGGCAGCAGUGGGGAAUAUUGCACAAUGGAGGAAACUCUGAUGCAGCCAUGCCGCGUGUGUGAAGAAGGCUUUCGGGUUGUAAAGCUUGUUUAAUAGACAAUAGCUUGACGUUACCCACAGAAGAAGCACCGGCUAACUCCGUGCCAGCAGCCGCGGUAAUACGGAGGGUGCGAGCGUUAAUCGGAAUUACUGGGCGUAAAGCGCGCGUAGGUGGUUAAUUAAGUCAGAUGUGAAAGCCCAGGGCUCAACCUUGGAACUGCAUUUGAAACUGGUUAACUAGAGUUUUGUAGAGGUGGUAGAACUCCUAGUGUAGAGGUGAAAUUCGUAGAUAUUAGUGAAGAACACCAGUGGCGAAGUCGAUUCACUGGUCCGGUACUGACGCUGAGGUGCGAAAGCGUGGGGAGCAAACAGGAUUAGAUACCCUGGUGGUCCACGCCGUAAACGAUGAAUGCCAGCUGUUGGGCAGUAUACUGUUCAGUGGCGCAGCUAACGCAUUAAGCAUUCCGCCUGGGGAGUACGGUCGCAAGACUAAAACUCAAAGAAAUUGACGGGGGCCCGCACAAGCGGUGGAGCAUGCGGUUUAAUUCGAAGCAACGCGCAGAACCUUACCAGCUCUUGACAUCCCGAUCUCGGUUACCGGAGACGGUUUCCUUCAGCUAGGCUGGAUCGGUGACAGGUGCUGCAUGGCUGUCGUCAGCUCUUGUCGUGAGAUUUUGGGUUAAGUCCCGCAACGAGCGCAACCCUCGCCCUUAGUUACCAUCAUUUAGUUGGGUACUCUAAGGGAACUGCCGGUGACAAGCCGGAGGAAGGUGGGGAUGACGUCAAGUCCUCAUGGCCCUUAUGGGCUGGGCUACACACGUGCUACAAUGGCGGUGACAAUGGGUCGCGACCCCGCGAGGGCGAGCUAAUCCCCAAAAACCGUCUCAGUUCGGAUUGUUCUCUGCAACUCGAGAGCAUGAAGUUGGAAUCGCUAGUAAUCGCGUAUCAGCAUGACGCGGUGAAUACGUUCCCGGGCCUUGUACACACCGCCCGUCACACCAUGGGAGUUGGUUUUACCUGAAGACGGUGCGCUAACCUUUUAGGAGGCAGCCGGCCACGGUAAGGUCAGCGACUGGGGUGAAGUCGUAACAAGGUAACCGUA
RNAcentral lists this ribosomal RNA (1452 nucleotides) under uncultured prokaryote. RNAcentral's name for it is "partial 16S ribosomal RNA". It matches the Rfam family "Bacterial small subunit ribosomal RNA". The record is from RNAcentral.